AACACAACAUUUAUGAUGUUGUCUUUGACUUUCACCCCUCAGAUUUGGAAAGUGAAAAACAAAGAGCUGGGUGGUUGUAGUAGAAGUUAGGGUUAGAGAGGAGGGCUGGUAGUAGUAGUUAGGGUUAGAGAGGAGGGCUGGUAGUAGUAGUUAGGGUUAGAGAGGAGGGCUGGUAGUAGUAGUAGGGGCUGGGAGUAGUAGUUGGGGUUAGAGAGGAGGGCUGGGAGUAGUAGUUGGGGUUAGAGAGGAGGGCUGGGAGUAGUAGUUGGGGUUAGAGAGGAGGGCUGGGAGUAGUAGUUGGGGUUAGAGAGGAGGGCUGGGAGUAGUUCUCUCCUCCCCAUAUCCCCCAGUCUCUCCUCAAUCUCUCUCAGGGGCUGCUGCUGCCAGUACAGGCUGUGCUUUAGGCACAGAUUUAUGAUCAGUCUGCCCCCAUCAGGUCAGCCCCCCUCCCUGCUGUCUUCCUGUGCAGAGUGAGUCAAGUGAGCCACACUUUCCCCAAGCUGCUG
Molecule: long non-coding RNA, 506 nt
Organism: Oncorhynchus tshawytscha (Chinook salmon)
Lineage: Eukaryota; Metazoa; Chordata; Actinopteri; Salmoniformes; Salmonidae
Source: Ensembl